UACGUAGGCAGCGAGCGUUGUCCGGAUUCAUUGGGCGUAAAGAGCGUGUAGGCGGCCAGGUAGGUCGGUUGUGAAAACUGGAGGCUCAACCUUCAGAGGUCGACCGAAACCAUCUGGCUAGAGUCCGGGAGAGGAGAGUGGAAUUCCUGGUGUAGCGGUGAAAUGCGCAGAUAUCAGGAAGAACACCCGUGGCGAAAGCGGCUCUCUGGAACGGUACUGACGCUGAGACGCGAAAGCGUGGGAGCGAACAGG
RNAcentral lists this ribosomal RNA (252 nucleotides) under uncultured bacterium. RNAcentral's name for it is "partial 16S ribosomal RNA". It matches the Rfam family "Bacterial small subunit ribosomal RNA", at positions 524 to 776 of the family's 1533-position model. The record is from RNAcentral.